Molecule: long non-coding RNA, 914 nt
Organism: Camellia sinensis
Lineage: Eukaryota; Viridiplantae; Streptophyta; Magnoliopsida; Ericales; Theaceae
Source: RefSeq, a predicted model, not a curated record
UCACAACACUUCAGCCAAGUAUAUUGCGCCACCUCAGCACUCCGUUACACUCCUUCCCCUAUAUAUACACAUCAUCAUCACCCCCAUACAGCAGUCCCGUGUUUCUUCGGUUACUUGAAGCUAAAUUGCGCUGCUAACGAGCGCCUUUGCCGCCAUUGUUGUUAAUCAUCUUAGACCUUGUUUGUUUCUCUUAAAGAUCGUCUGGUUUUUGAAUCAAAAUGGCUGUGAAAGACAACUCUCGCUCUGAUCUCCAGAGAUCGAAGGAGUUUUCCUCCGUAGGUAAAAUCGGCGGGAAGAGAUUUUCAGAACGAGAAUUUGAUCGGAAACUGUACACCAAGCCGAAUCCGAAGGUGUGUGGUACGGAGAUCGAGACCGAUCAAGAAAGUGUUGGAUCGUCGAAAGAGAUGGAAUCGCCGAGGUCGGUGGCGAAGUUUGGGCAGUGGACUCCGAAGAAUGAUGUCUACGUGCAUAGCCAGAUCUUGAGGAUCAGAGAGGAGGAUUCUCACCUCGGUGAGGACUUCGGUGAGGUCUCGGGCUCUGCUCAUCAUCAUCACCUGGUUUCUUCGCAUAUGGAUGUCAUGAUUUUCUCGAGGCCGAUCUUACCUGCUUCGCCUCUCAGCGGCAAAACGUCACACUGAUCCAAUCAAGGAGGAUUGGCAUCAGAAUUUUAAAUCGGGCAUGUGCAAAACACUGAAGUUGGAGUGAAUUUGGUGGGUUAGGUUAGGAUUCUCAAGUGUUCAGCUUCCUUCCUGCUUAGGAGUAUCUACUGUACAGUUAGGAAGAACAAUAGAGGAUCUCACGCAGUCCCUACCUAAUGUGAAAUCACAAAUUAGGCCCUCUUUUUUGUUCUUUUAUGAAGGGAAUUACAAUUUACACUCCUCUUUUUCAUAGUUAUACUAAAUUUUGUCAUUUAA